AUUGAACGCUGGCGGCAGGCCUAACACAUGCAAGUCGAACGAGUGGCGGACGGGUGAGUAAUGUCUGGGAAACUGCCCGAUGGAGGGGGAUAACUACUGGAAACGGUAGCUAAUCCCCCAUACCGUCGGGUGUUCCCAGAGGGGCUUAGCUAGUUGGUGGGGUAAAGGCUCACCUAGGCGACGAUCCCUAGCUGGUCUGAGAGGAUGACCAGCCACACUGGAACUGAGACACGGUCCAGACUCCUACGGUAGGCAGCAGUGGGGAAUAUUGCACAAUGGGCGCAAGCCUGAUGGAGCCAGGCCGCGUGUGUGAAGAAGGCCUUCGGGUUGUAAAGCACUUUCAGCGGGGAGGCGUUACCCGCAGAGGAAGCACCGGCGAACUCCGUGCCAGCCGCCGCGGUAAUAC
This 406-nucleotide ribosomal RNA is filed under the name uncultured bacterium. RNAcentral's name for it is "partial 16S ribosomal RNA". It matches the Rfam family "Bacterial small subunit ribosomal RNA", at positions 30 to 526 of the family's 1533-position model. The record is from RNAcentral.